GCUUGAGUGGCAGAGCCUGGUAAUUGCAAAAGACCUAAGAUCUUUUGAUCAGAGGUUCAAAUCCUCUCUCCAGUU
RNAcentral lists this transfer RNA (75 nucleotides) under Ichthyophis glutinosus (Ceylon caecilian). RNAcentral describes it as "tRNA-Leu". It matches the Rfam family "tRNA". From Rfam's summary of the family: Transfer RNA (tRNA) molecules are approximately 80 nucleotides in length. Their secondary structure includes four short double-helical elements and three loops (D, anti-codon, and T loops). Further hydrogen bonds mediate the characteristic L-shaped molecular structure. tRNAs have two regions of fundamental functional importance: the anti-codon, which is responsible for specific mRNA codon recognition, and the 3' end, to which the tRNAs corresponding amino acid is attached (by aminoacyl-tRNA synthetases). tRNAs cope with the degeneracy of the genetic code in two manners: having more than one tRNA (with a specific anti-codon) for a particular amino acid; and 'wobble' base-pairing, i.e. permitting non-standard base-pairing at the 3rd anti-codon position. The record is from RNAcentral. Lineage: Eukaryota; Metazoa; Chordata; Amphibia; Gymnophiona; Ichthyophiidae.